This 451-nucleotide long non-coding RNA is filed under the name Gossypium barbadense (sea-island cotton). Its description in RNAcentral is "long non-coding RNA (GBAR_LNC012404)". Lineage: Eukaryota; Viridiplantae; Streptophyta; Magnoliopsida; Malvales; Malvaceae. The record is from RNAcentral.
ACAAAGGUUAACUCAACAACGGAGAUUCGACUACACUAUGCCCCCGAUGAGCGAAGGUUUGUUUUAAAUGAAAAAGGUAAAAUCGACCCUUAUUCUUCUGCUUAUCGAGGUAAGAUGCUUGAAACCUUUGAAACACUUUUGUACUCCUCGGAUAGUGAUAAAGAUCGUGUUGAUGAACACUUAGAUCGAAACGUGCUUGACUGUCCUAUUUUAUUUAUUGAUGAUCUAUCUGUUUUGAUGGUUGAUAAAAAGAUUCUUGUUUUUGAUAAUGCAUGCGUGAGUGAAUCUAUAGACCGUCGAUUAAUGCAUGGUAUGAUUAUGCAACUCUGUGAACCAUGUGAAUCUUUUCAAAUACCUACUUGUGACGAUUAUGUUUACCAUUUGAUUUAUUACUCGCAAUUUAUUCAUGGUUUGUGGGAACAAUGUGAGACGACUGAAUGCCUUAAAACAU